Molecule: long non-coding RNA, 267 nt
Filed under: Zostera marina
Lineage: Eukaryota; Viridiplantae; Streptophyta; Magnoliopsida; Alismatales; Zosteraceae
Description: long non-coding RNA (ZMAR_LNC003060)
Source: RNAcentral
UCCUCGUGGCCGACGUCGGAGGCGUCCCCGCCGCGGUGCUUCCUCGCUGGACCAGGUCCCUCGCCGUUUACGUCGCCGUAUCAAUUUUAAUUAGGAACCUGUAAUAUUUUUCAUUCAUCAUUUUGUACAUUUGAAUAAAUAUAUUUUUCCUUUUCCUUGGCUCGAUUUACACCUUUACUUUGAGGUACGUUAGUGUAACCGAUGUUUUCUUUUGGUCAAUGCCAUAUUCUUUUGUCCUUUUCUGAAGAUGUCGAAUUUUUGAUAACA